UGAGGUGGGAAGGCUAAACUGAGGAAUUAUGUCUGACAGAACAGAAGAAAUGACUGCAGUGGCCUUCUCAGACCCUGUAGGAAAGGCCUCUACCUAUCCAGUGGAAGUAUCUACCUAGACUAAGAGGUAUUUUAGUUAUCUGACUCAGGGCAUGUUGAGUGAAGCUAAUUUGCCAGUCCUGGGUGGGGCAAAUCCUCGAGCUUGAUGUGUAGGGAAGGGAGGGGGGCCUGAAUAAUCCCUGAGGAGUAGUAGAAUAGCAGGUGGAACACUGAGAAGUUAUUUCCUUGAGGAUAGAUUUCCACGAUGGAAAGGAAAUGAGAGGUUCUAAGAGGCGGGCUAGUGGCUUGUACUAUAGCAUAACCUGCCUUUGCUGGUGUGUGGCGAUUAGGCCUGGUGGAACCGCCAUCAAUAAAUCAAGCGUGAUCAGGGUGAGGAACAGGAAAGAAGGAAAUGUGGGGAAAUGGGGUGAAUGUCAGGUGGAUCAGAGAGAUACAGUCAUGGGGGUCAGGUGCGGUAUCAGGAAUAAUGUGGGAGGCCGGAUUGAGGUCUGGGCCAGGAACAACGGUAAUUGUGGGAGACUCAACAAAGAGUGAGUAUAGCUGAAGGAGCCAGGAAGCAGAAAGUAUAUGCGUCAGGUAUGAGGAAGAAAAUAGAUUUUGGAAGUUAUGAGAACUGUAGAGAGUGAGUUGAGAAUAGUUUGUGAUUUUGAGGGCCUCUAAAAGUAUUAAAGCAGCGGCAGCUGCUGCACGCAGACAUGAGGGCUAGGCUAAAACAGUAAGGUCAAGUUGUUUGGACAGAAAGGCUACAGGGUGUGGUCCUGGCUCUUGUGUAAGAAUUCUGACCACACUAACCAUGCCUAGGAAGGAAAGGAGUUGUUGUUUUGUAGAAGGUGCUUGGGUUUGAGAGAUCAGUCGAACAUGAUUGGCAGGGAGAGCACGUGUGUUUUUAUGAGAAUUAUGCCGAGAUAGGUAACAGAUGAGGAAGAAAUUUGGGCUUGAUUGAAGUAAUGGGGGCUGUCUGUGAAGCUCUGCGGCAGUACAGCCCAGGUAAUUUGCUGAGCUUGAUGGGUGUCAGGGUCAGUCCAAGUGAAAGCGAAGAGAGGCUGGGAUUAAGGGUGCAAAGGAAUAGUAAAGAAACAUGUUUGAGAUCUAGAACAGAAUAAUGGGUUGUAGAGACAGAUAUUGAGGAUAGGAGAGUAUAUGGGUUGGGCACCAUGGGGUGGAUAGGCAAAACAAUUUGGUUGAUAAGGCGCAGAUCCUGAACUAACUUGUAAGGUUUGUCUGGUUUUAGGACAGGUAAAAUGGGGGAAUUGUAAGGAGAAUUUAUAGGUUUUAAAAGGCCAUGCUGUAGCAGGCGAGUGAUAACAGGCUUUAAUCUUUUUAAAGUGUGCUGCGGGAUGGGAUACUGGCGUUGAGUGGGGUAAGGGUGAUUAGGUUUUAAUGAGAUGGUAAGGGGUUCAUGAUCAGUCGCCAAGGAGGGAGUAGAGGUAUCUUAUACUUGUGGGUUAAGGUUGGGGGGAUACAAGAGGAGGACGCAAAGGAGGCUUUGGAUUGGGAAGAAGGGCGGCAAUGAGAUAUAGCUGUAGUCCAGGAAUAGUCAGGGAAGCAGAUAAUUUAGUUAAAGUGUCUCAGCCUAAUAAGGGAACUGGGCAGGUGGGGAUAACUAAAAAGGAGUGCUUAAAAGAGUAUUGUCUACGUUGGCACCAGAGUUGGGGAGUUUUAAGAGGUUUAGAAGCCUGGCCGUCAAUACCCACAACAGUUAUGGAGGCAAGGGAAACAGGCCCUUGAAAAGAAGGUAAUGUGGAGUGGGUAGCCUCUGUAUUGAUUAAGAAGGGGACUGACUUACCUUCCACUGUGAGAGUUACCCAAAGCUCGGCGUCCAUGAUGGUCUAUGGGGCUUCCAAGGUGAUCGGGCAGCGUCAGUCUUCAGCCGCUAAGCGGAGAAGGAGUCAGUCAGAGAGCCUUGGGCCAGAGUUCCAGGGGCUCUGGGAGUGGCUGCCAGGUGAGUUGAACAGUCCGAUUUCCAGUGGGGUCCCGCACAGAUGGGACAUGGCUUAGGAGGAAUCCUGGGCCGCAGGCAUUCCUUGGCCUGGUGGUCAGAUUUCUGGCACUUGUAACAAGUUCCUGGGGGAGGAGGUUCUGGAGGAAUGCCUGGCCGCUGAGGUUCAGGCGUUUGGAAGUUCUUGUGUGCUAGAGAUGCGGCUGGGGUUUGUCUCACAGUGGAGGCAAGGAAUUGCAACUUUUUUCUAUUACUGUACACCUUGAAGGCGAGGUUAAUUAAAUCCUGUUGUGGGGUUUGAGGGCCGGAACUUAAUUUUUGGAGUUUUAUUUAAUGUCGGGAGCAGAUUGGGUAAUAAAAUGUAUAUUGAGAAUAAGAUGGCCUUUUGACCUUUUAGGGUCUAGGGCUGUAAAGCGUCUCAGGGUUGCUGCCGAACGAGCCAUGAACUGGGCUGGGUUUUUAUAUUUGAUGAAAAAGAGCCUAAACGCUAUCUGAUUUGGGAUAAAGAAAAAGGAGCAAUAACCUUGACUAUGCCUUUGGCUCCAGCCACCUUUUUAAGAGUAAAUUGCUGGGCAGGUGGGGGAGGGCGAGUCACGGAACGAAACUAUAAGAAAACUAAAGCUUGGUGAAGUUAAGUCGCUUGCCCCGGAUCACACAGAUCGUGGCAAAACUAACAAUCAAAUUAGGGCCUGACUCCAGAGGCCAAGCUCUGACUUUUACAUGUGCUGCCUCCCAGUGGGAAGAGCUGGCAUCAAGAACGACAUCUUUCACACUGGACAUGUUCACAAAUGACUGGUGAAUACUAAGGGAUUAACAUAAGAUCACUAAACCACCUCUAUGCUCCUCUUUUUGAGAAAAAGAAAAGAAAAAUGAGAAACAAUGGAUCUUCAGAGCUAAGUUGAAGUUAAGGAUUAUUUAGUUUAUUCUCAUUGUUUUAUAAAUGAUUAAAGUAGACCCAGAGAGGACAUUUUUACCAUUGAUACUGCUAUGAUUACUACUAUUGUUGCUAUUAUCAUUGUCUUCAUGUUCUGAGAAGCAGGGCUCAGUCAGCCUUGACACCGUUUCUAAUACUAUUCCCCACUGGAAUGGCUCCAGUUGGUGGCCAGAGAUACUGCUUCAUUUCAAGGAACCAUUCAGACAUUUGCCUGCAAACUUAACGUGACCGCCUCUCAGUCAGGGGGACCUCCUGGAACCAGUGCCUGCUUGCUUUAAAUUCAACAAUUAAACCUGUUUGGAUAACACUCUGAACCCAAUAAAGGCCCCGCAAGAGUGACGCUGCCAGGCAGGCGCCGCCCUGUUCGGUUCCUGCUGCUGUCGCUCCUCGCUCCCCACCACCUCCAGAGCUCCGGUGGGUCACCAUGGAAAGGGAAGCCGCUGCCUGCAAGGCCAGCAGACACAGAGGUCACCCUCCAAUUUUUUCGGGUAACAUUCUGUAAGGACAGAACACCAGGAGGCUACUCCUACCACCAGGAGCAUGUCAGCAAGAAGUCCUGCGGGAAGCAUAUGUCAGCACCAAAGCCUACAUGCCGCACUUGGUCUUUCUCUCAUCACCAUAACAUGGAAGCAAGUACAGCCAUCGACCACAUCGGACCCUGUGGUGGAAGGAGAAGGCAGCACUAUUGCACUUCCACUCGUGUCUCAGAGGCAAGGAAUCUGGCCGCCCCCAGCUAAAUGCAACACUGGGAGCAUGAGGCUUUUAGUCUCCAGUCUCUAUGGCACAGGCAGGCAAAGGCGGUGAGGAUGGGAACCCGACUUUGUGCUCAGUCCAUGUUGUCUGCCAGAACCUUUGAUGGAGUGGACUCAUUUUUUCUCCAUGUCUCAGCAUCUUGUUUAUAUUUUUCAUCAUUUAAUUUAUUUGUUGAAUCCUGGGAAAUUCUAUUCAUUUCAGAAUUCUUUUAGUUUAUCUCACCUACUAUUUUAAACUUUAUUUCUGAGAUUGUAAUUUUAGUGAGUUUUUCUAUUUCCUGAAGUUUUAUUUGCUUGUACUCUUUCCUUUUUUUUCUUUUCUUCUUCUUCUUUUUUUUUUGAGACAGUCUUGCUCUGUUGCCCAGGCUGGAGUGCCAUGGCAUGAUCUCAGCUGUCACCUCCACCUCCCACGUUCAAGCAAUUCUCCUGCCUUAGUGUCCCUAGUAGCUGGGAUGACAGAUGCACGCCACCAUGCCCAGCUAAUUUUUGUAUUUUUAGUAGACGGGGUUUCACCAUGUUAGCCAGGCUGGUCUUGAACUCGGGACCUCAGGUGAUCUGCCCACCUUGGCCUCCCAAAGUGCUGGGAUUACAGGCGUGAGCCACCACACCUGGCCCCUUAUAGUUUCUAUGCCUUUUUUUUUAUCCCCUUUAAUCAUUUGUUAUUUAGGUGAAGAGGGAAAUGCCUUUUUUCCCCAUUCUUACUUGCAUGAUGGCAGGGAAGUGGAGGCGUUAUAUCCCCCAGCAUAUGCCUGGCCCUUCUCUCCUGGGAAUAUAGAGAAAUGUAUUUGAUUGCAAGUUUCAGACGAAUGCCUGGAGGCUUGGCUUGGCUCAUCUCUGCGCUUUUUCCUUUUGUGAAUAAGUUUGCCACAGGGUGAGGUGUUCUCUGCAGCCCUUUUGGGACAAGCUCUCCCUGUCACAUGCCCCAGAAUUACCUGCAAUCAAGUGGUUAAUGUCUGCCUAAUUCUGGGCUUCAGUAUUAGGAAACAUACUUGCUGCGCAUAUACACCACAUCCUCCACCUGAGCUGUGUGUGCAAUGUUUGGUUGCAGCCUCCCUCUGCUACUUUGAAUUACUACUUCUUUUUGUUUUUUGUUUUUUUUUCAGAGGAUAGGGAACACUUAGAAGAUCCCAAACUUACUUUCUUUUAUAUUUUGCUAUUAUAUAUUUUUACAUAUAUAUUCUAUAAUAUCAUAUAUUUUAUUUUAAUGUAUUUUGUUAUAAUCUUAAGUUCUUGAAGAACUAAUGCUCCUCUUUAUGUGUUGCUGAUUUGCUGGUGGUGGAAGGUUUCCUUCUACGUUUUGACUAUUUCUCACUGUAAGCGCAUCCAAUCAAAGCUCAGUUUUUCUAUAGACAUCUACGUAGCCGGGAAACUAAAAUGUCCCUAAGUCCAGAAUGAGGUUGCGUAUGUUGUUCUCAGGUGUCUGAGAGAUAGCACUUGCCAGCGGCCAAUUUUUAUACUAAUUUCACAUCUCUGGGUUUCCCCCAUGAUGCUGUUAAAUGACUUGAACUCUAUGUGGGACACAGUCUGGGCUUUGAUUUCUUUCAGAG
RNAcentral lists this long non-coding RNA (5231 nucleotides) under Homo sapiens (human). RNAcentral describes it as "HSALNT0121805". Lineage: Eukaryota; Metazoa; Chordata; Mammalia; Primates; Hominidae. The record is from RNAcentral.